UACGGAGGAUCCGAGCGUUAUCCGGAUUUAUUGGGUUUAAAGGGUGCGUAGGUGGAUUGGUAAGUCAGUGGUGAAAGUUUGCAGCUUAACUGUAAAAUUGCCGUUGAAACUGCCGGUCUUGAGUGCAAAUGAGGUAGGCGGAAUGCGUCGUGUAGCGGUGAAAUGCUUAGAUAUGACGAGGAACUCCUAUUGCGAAGGCAGCUUGCUGGGUCGUUACUGACGCUGAUGCUCGAAGGUGCGGGGAUCAAACAGGAUUAGAUACCCU
Molecule: ribosomal RNA, 265 nt
Filed under: uncultured prokaryote
Description: partial 16S ribosomal RNA
Rfam family: Bacterial small subunit ribosomal RNA
Source: RNAcentral